CGCCUAAUACAUGCAAGUCGAGCGAGAAGACGUAGCAAUACGUUUGUAAAGCGGCGAACGGGUGAGGAAUACAUGGGUAACCUACCCUCGAGUGGGGAAUAACUAGCCGAAAGGUUAGCUAAUACCGCAUACGACUCCUGGUCUGCGGAUCGGGAGGGAAAGCGAUACCGUGGGUAUCGCGCUCUUGGAUGGGCUCAUGUCCUAUCAGCUUGUUGGUGAGGUAAUGGCUCACCAAGGCUUCGACGGGUAGCUGGUCUGAGAGGACGAUCAGCCACACUGGCACUGCGACACGGGCCAGACUCCUACGGGAGGCAGCAGUAAGGAAUAUUGCGCAAUGGGCGACAGCCUACGCAGCGACGCCGCGUGGGGGAUGAAGGUCUUCGGUUUAAACCCC
This 394-nucleotide ribosomal RNA is filed under the name uncultured organism. RNAcentral's name for it is "bacterial SSU rRNA". It matches the Rfam family "Bacterial small subunit ribosomal RNA", at positions 45 to 433 of the family's 1533-position model. The record is from RNAcentral.